Molecule: ribosomal RNA, 422 nt
Filed under: uncultured bacterium
Lineage: Bacteria
Description: partial 16S ribosomal RNA
Rfam family: Bacterial small subunit ribosomal RNA
Source: RNAcentral
AAUUUUGGACAAUGGGGGCAACCCUGAUCCAGCCAUCCCGCGUGUGCGAUGAAGGCCUUCGGGUUGUAAAGCACUUUUGGCAGGGAAGAAAAGGCUCUGGCUAAUACCUGGAGCUGCUGACGGUACCUGCAGAAUAAGCACCGGCUAACUACGUGCCAGCAGCCGCGGCAAUACGCAGGGUGGAAGCGUUAAUCGGAAUUACUGGGCGGAAAGCGGGCGCAGGCGGUUCGGCAAGAAGGAGUUGAAAUCCCAGGGCUUAACCUUGGGAAUGCAUUCUUAACUGCCGGGCUAGAGUAUGUCAGAGGGGGGUAGAAUUCCGCGUGUAGCAGUGAAAUGCGUAGAGAUGCGGAGGAAUACCGAUGGCGAAGGCAGCCCCCUGGGAUAAUACUGACGCUCAUGCACGAAAGCGUGGGGAGCAAACA